This 306-nucleotide ribosomal RNA is filed under the name Triticum aestivum (bread wheat). Its description in RNAcentral is "partial small subunit ribosomal RNA". Lineage: Eukaryota; Viridiplantae; Streptophyta; Magnoliopsida; Poales; Poaceae. The record is from RNAcentral.
AUGCUCCUGUACAUAAUCCUAAAAUCGGGUUCGGUUGUUCACAGAACCGCCACAUUUGCUUUUGCAUAUGUAUAUGUAAAUUCAGCACAUUCCCAGGCAGUUUGGGGCUGCUAUUGUUAUAUGGAAUUCAUCAAGAAACAAGAUAAGCAGAUUUCUUGUGUAUCAUGCUUAUGUUGCAUGCUGGUCAUUUACUUGGCUUUGAAUUUUUUUUAUUUUUUAUUUUUGAAAAUAAGAAGGUGGUGCGUGGCCGACCUUAUAUUUCAAAAGAGUCAUAAGCCUGAGGAAGUACAGUUACAUGACUUGUGA